Long non-coding RNA from Daphnia carinata, 444 nucleotides. RefSeq lists it as uncharacterized. Lineage: Eukaryota; Metazoa; Arthropoda; Branchiopoda; Diplostraca; Daphniidae. The record is from RefSeq and is a predicted model, not a curated record. The transcript is spliced from 3 exons.
CAACAGGUUUUUAUUUGCUUUUCAACAUCCAUUUCAUAGUGGUACAUGUGGCUUUGAUUAAUAUUACCAUAAAGACUGCCAAAAAGGGGUGUGGUACGGAAUCCCAGAAAUGGCAUGAGUUCAACAUCAAACAUGGCUUAGAAUUUUAGCGGGGGAUCAAGUCAAGUCUGGAAGUGUUACAGGAUGGAAGAGUGAGCCUACAGUUGAAAAAACACUGAGAGUGCAUUACCAUUAAGUUCUGUCACAGCUAGAAGCCUCAAAUAAUUCUGCUUCUCUUGCUAAAGAACAACUUGUCCUUUACGUUCAGAGUGUUGGUGAAGAUGGGUACUUAAAUGGCCUUAAAGAUGUUUCACUUCGCUGGCAUUGCAGUGAUGAACACCAUACAUGGACUCUUUAGGUAUGAACGGAAUUUUCUUGAAAAAAUUUUGAAUUUAUGACGAAGCA